RNAcentral lists this ribosomal RNA (865 nucleotides) under uncultured Prevotella sp. Its description in RNAcentral is "partial 16S ribosomal RNA". The stretch from base 1 to 758 matches the Rfam family "Bacterial small subunit ribosomal RNA", at positions 28 to 873 of the family's 1533-position model. The record is from RNAcentral. Lineage: Bacteria; Pseudomonadati; Bacteroidota; Bacteroidia; Bacteroidales; Prevotellaceae.
GACGAACGCUGGCGGCGUGCUUAACACAUGCAAGUCGAACGAAAAUACCAAGCUUGCUUGGUUGAUUAGUGGCGAACGGGUGAGUAACACGUGAGUAACCUGCCCCUUACUUUCCUGGAUAACUGCUCGAAAGGGUAGCUAAUACGGGAUAUUCUGACCGGCCUGCAUGGGUUGGUUUGGAAAGGUUGUUUUUUCUGGUGAGGGAUGGGCUCGCGGCCUAUCAGCUUGUUGGUGGGGUGAUGGCCUACCAAGGCUUUGACGGGUAGCCGGCCUGAGAGGGUGGACGGUCACACUGGGACUGAGAUACGGCCCAGACUCCUACGGGAGGCAGCAGUGGGGAAUAUUGCACAAUGGGCGCAAGCCUGAUGCAGCGACGCCGCGUGAGGGAUGAAGGCCUUCGGGUUGUAAACCUCUUUCGUCAGGGAACAAGGCACUACGUUUUGGUGGUGUUGAGGGUACCUGGAUAAGAAGCGCCGGCUAACUACGUGCCAGCAGCCGCGGUAAUACGUAGGGCGCAAGCGUUGUCCGGAAUUAUUGGGCGUAAAAAGCUCGUAAGCGGCUGGUCUCGUCUGUCGUGAAAACUUUCCGGCUCAACCGGGGGCUUGGGGGGGGUACGGGCCAGCGAAGGGGGGAGGGGGGGAUGGAGAUCCUGGUGUAACGCGAAAAGCGCAAAAAAAGCGAGAAGAACCGUGUCGAUAGAGGAGUAUUGGGUGUUGCAGCGCUGUGAGCGCCACUAGAGACCACAGGAGAAAUACGCCAUGAGUAAGAGGAGAUCAACUGGGAGUGUAGGCCCGCGGCCCCCGCCCCCGCCGAGGGGGGAGGGGUGGGGGGACGCGCGCUGGUUGGGUGUCGUGGCCGUUGAUAU